Molecule: ribosomal RNA, 253 nt
Filed under: uncultured bacterium
Lineage: Bacteria
Description: partial 16S ribosomal RNA
Rfam family: Bacterial small subunit ribosomal RNA
Source: RNAcentral
UACGGAGGGGGCUAGCGUUGUUCGGAAUUACUGGGCGUAAAGCGCACGUAGGCGGCUUUGUAAGUUAGAGGUGAAAGCCCGGGGCUCAACCCCGGAAUAGCCUUUAAGACUGCAUCGCUUGAACACGGGAGAGGUGAGUGGAAUUCCGAGUGUAGAGGUGAAAUUCGUAGAUAUUCGGAAGAACACCAGUGGCGAAGGCGGCUCACUGGACUGGUAUUGACGCUGAGGUGCGAAAGCGUGGGGAGCAAACAGG